GAGUUUAGAUUCGAUAACACAUGUGAUACCAAAAUUGUGAACAAUACAGAGAAGAUUAGCAUGGCCCCUGCACAAGGAUGACACACAAAUUUGUGAAGGUUUCUGUAUUGGA
This is a small nuclear RNA of Loxodonta africana (African savanna elephant), 112 nucleotides long. Lineage: Eukaryota; Metazoa; Chordata; Mammalia; Proboscidea; Elephantidae. The record is from Rfam.